UAGGCCUACUUGGCUAGUGCAUUAGCCUUAGCCAUAGUGUAGUCAAAUCUUGACAACUAGUCUUCUAGAUCUAAGCUUCUAGAAUAAUUAGAUCUAGAUCCAGUUUAGAUUUAGAAUAUAAAAGUAUUUUACUAGCUAAAAUACUAAAUUUACUGAUCUAAAUUCUAGAUAGAUAUACAAUAUAUUGAUCCAGUUUAGAUUUGGAAUAUAAAAAUAUUUACUAGCUAAAAUUCUAAAUCUACUGAUCUAUACUUAAUAUUUUAGAUAUUAUAUGACAUCUACAAAAAUUAUUAUUAAGAUAUAAUUAUAGAAUCUAGACUAGUUAUUUAUGUACAUAAAAUAUAUAAAUAAAAGAUAAAAUUUAUGCAGGCCUAGAUCCCAUAAAUUUAUAAUUGAUCCAGAUCUAUCAGUAAAAGUUACCUUCGAUGGGAAGUUUUACCCAAUCUAAUCUAUACAAGACAAUUUAUAAUCCAUGCCUCGCCUACACCCAUACAUUAAAUAAUAGUUCCCAUUCCAUGCCAUGCCCAGACCCAUGAGUUCAUGAAAUAAUAAAUGAUGUGGUGUCAAGUUGGAUCUAUCCCCUGAAAUUCAGCACUUUAAUAUAAAACUCUCAUAUCUAGUUAAUUAUUUGCUAUGACACUCUGAUCAACUUGGACUUGUGUGAUACAUAUAUGUUUCUUAUCAGAUUUAAUGAAUGAAGUUUUGGUGCAUUUUAAGGCUACAAAAGUAUCAUCAGGUGCAUUCUAACCAUUGGUAUUUUUCCUGGCAACAUUUCUAUUCUAGUCUGUGAUAAAUUAUAAAUUUAAAAAAAUGUUUGUAAUGUUUCAGUUAUUAACAAGUAGAACCAUGCCAACCAGUUCUGAUGAUGUACCAGAAUGGCUCAAGGAUCAUACUUAUACUAUUUCUACUCUCUGGGCAGACAUUAAUAAUAUUGGCAUCCAUUCAAUAUUUAUUUUAUGUUUGGAAAUGCAAGAAAAAGGCAUGCAUUCCUGUCAAGUCAAUGAUUGGUUGCACCUCUUAAAGAUAACUUUCUGUUAUGAGAAAAGAUGAGAUUCUUGGACUCCUGCAUAGCACCACCAGAAAGGAAAAUCCCAUCAUGUUGCAAAAUAAAAGUCUUGGACCAAUUUUAAUUUAAGAUAUAUAUAUUAUACUGUAAGCUCUAUACAUAUUUAUGUAUAUCCUGUCAUUCAGCCUACAGGUUUGGAUUUAGUAUUUCUUUAAAUCUGUUUGAUAUUGUACUUGAAAACUAUUAAUCUGAGCCCCAUUAAAACAAUAGGGAGUGCAGUGAACGAGUGGUAAAGCACUUGGCUUCUGAACUGAGGGUUCCUGGGUUCAAUUAAGACUGGGAUAUACAAUUUCAGAAUUCAAAAGGCUAGGGAUACAUGGCAAUAGUAAGGAAUAAGUAAAGGCAGUUUGGGGAUCCAUGGCUGAAUGGUUAAGUCAUGGGUUUGAAUCUCUGUGAAGACUCGGAUUAAAAUUUUUUAGAUUUUUGGGUGCCCCUGAGUCCACCUAACUCUAAUGGGUAGCUGACUUUUGUUUUGGAAAGUAAAGAUGGUUGGUUGUUGUGCUGGCCACAUGAUGCACUGGCCAAAGAAUCAAAUGACCUUAACAUCAUCUGCCCUAUAGAUUGUGACGUCUGAAAUGGGAUAUUUUUUCAAAAGGUGGUUGGUUGUUGUGCUGGGUACAUGACACCCUCGCUAACCAUGGGGCACAGAAACUGAUAAACUUUAUAUCAUCUGCCCCAUAGAUUGCAAGAUAUGUAAGGGAAAUUUUACUUUUUUAAAAUUAAAAUAAGAAUCUAUCAAAAGUAAACAUAAAAUAUGGUGCAUUCUCCUUAAAACUAAAACCUAGUGCGAAGGUUUAAAAUGUUGGCAAAAAAAAGCAACAUCAUAUAUUCUUAAUUCCCUUUGCAAAACUUACUGAGAAGAACAUGCAUGUUGUUCCCUCAUAAGUUUCUUGACAGAGGAAAUCUUGUUUAUAUUAGAUUUGAAUUAAGCAAAUUAAGAAAAAAAUUAUAAUCAUUAUUUCAAAUGGUUGUAUCUAAACCUUAUGAAUUAUUUUUCUGUUAUAAGUAUAUUGAGAUUAAUGGAUAAUCAUGAAAUUGUUAAAUAAUUGCUGCUAUCAUUCCAUUGACUAAAGAACCAUAAUUUUUUUUUUUUUUAAAUUAAUUUCAAAAUGAUUUUUUUCAAGCAUAGAGUUCAUAUAGAUCUUGAGUGAAUUUUUUUUUUAUUUGACUAAUGCUUCAAUUUUAUUGUAUCAUAUUAGUUGUUAAUUUUUAUUACCCAGAAUAUUUAAAAAAUGAGUACACUAUUUUCAUGUAAUAAUGUAACUUGGUAUUCACACAAUGCUCAAAAUACACCAUAAUCUUUAGGCCAUACAGAUUUGUAUAAAUUAACUUGUUUAAAUACAUUGUAAAUGUAUAUUGUUUGGAUAAGAAUAAAGUUUUUUCUGUAGACAAUUAUUGUUCAAGAUUUGUUGAUGCUCCUGCUUAAUCAAUUAUAUAUACAGGUCAUUAGUUUUAACACGUCUGAUAAUAAAUGACAGUACAAGUUAGUGAAUGAAAAUUUGUCAUUAUUUCAGCUGCUUUAGUCCUACAUCAAUGUGAGGUACCAGUACUUUGAUUGUGUCAUAUAACAAUUUAAAGCAACAUUUUGAAAUGAAUAGUCUGUAGAAUUGACAGUAAAUACAUUUAAGUGAUGGGCUGUGAUCUGCUUGAAUUGGGAGCUGAUCAUGUAUUGAAUUUGUGUUUUUGAUCUUUACUUCAAGUAAAUGUUAAUGAGCAAUUAAUUUUUAAUGAAUAAAUAAUUUAAAAAUAAAUACAAAAGAACCAUAAACAUCUACUUUAGUUUAAUAAUUUUUUUUCAUCAGAACAGAAUUUCCAACUUUGCAUUCUUAAAAUAAAAUAUAAUUUAUUUAGAGUAGAGUCAGAACACAAAAUCAUAGUUUUAAAAUAUUAAGUAAAUUAAGCUAAGCUGUGAUCUCUUAUAAACAUUUGUAUAUAGACUAUA
Long non-coding RNA from Biomphalaria glabrata, 3008 nucleotides. RefSeq lists it as uncharacterized. The record is from RefSeq and is a predicted model, not a curated record. NCBI's taxonomy places the organism in Eukaryota, Metazoa, Mollusca, Gastropoda, Planorbidae. The transcript has 3 exons.